AGCGAACGCUGGCGGCAGGCCUAACACAUGCCAGUCGAACGAACUCUUCGGAGUUAGUGGCGGACGGGUGAGUAACACGUGGGAACGUGCCUUUAGGUUCGGAAUAACUCAGGGAAACUUGUGCUAAUACCGAAUGUGCCCUUCGGGGGAAAGAUUUAUCGCCUUUAGAGCGGCCCGCGUCUGAUUAGCUAGUUGGUGAGGUAAAGGCUCACCAAGGCGACGAUCAGUAGCUGGUCUGAGAGGUUGAUCAGCCACAUUGGGACUGAGACACGGCCCAAACUCCUACGGGAGGCAGCAGUGGGGAAUCUUGCGCAAUGGGCGAAAGCCUGACGCAGCCAUGCCGCGUGAAUGAUGAAGGUCUUAGGAUUGUAAAAUUCUUUCACCGGGGACGAUAAUGACGGUACCCGGAGAAGAAGCCCCGGCUAACUUCGUG
Molecule: ribosomal RNA, 433 nt
Filed under: uncultured bacterium
Lineage: Bacteria
Description: partial 16S ribosomal RNA
Rfam family: Bacterial small subunit ribosomal RNA
Source: RNAcentral